CACAAGGGGUGAAGCCUGCGGUUCAAUUGGAGUCAACGCCGGGAAUCUUACCGGGGGCGACAGCAGGGUGAAGGUCAAGCUGAAGACUUUACUAGACAAGCUGAGAGGAGGUGCAUGGCCGUCGCCAGCUCGUGCCGUGAGGUGUCCUGUUAAGUCAGGUAACGAGCGAGACCCCUGCUUCUAGUUGCUACUUCUAUUCUUCGGAGUAGAAGGGCUAAUUAGAAGGACUGCCGCCGCUAAGGCGGAGGAAGGAGGGGGCUACGGCAGGUCAGUAUGCCCCGAAACCCUCGGGCCACACGCGGGCUGCAAUGGUAAGUACAAUAGGUUCCGAUUCCGAAAGGAGGAGGCAAUCCCGUAAAACUUACCACAGUUAUGAUUGAGGGCUGAAACUCGUCCUCAUGAAUAUGGAAUCCCUAGUAAUCGCGUGUCAUCAUCGCGCGGUGAAUACGUCCCUGCUCCUUGCACACACCGCCCGUCGCUUCAUCGAAGUUGGUUUUAGGCGAGGUGGUGCGAUUUGGCAUUAUCGAACCUGAGAUCAGCAACGAGGGAGAAGUCGUAACAAGGUGGCCGUAGGGGAACCUGCGGCCGGAUCACCUCCUUAACUUCGAGGUCGGACAAUCUUGUGUAAAAUAUUGUGUAACUAUAACAAUAUGCAAUUUCUUCAUUAUUUGAAGAAAUGAAGGAUGAAACAAGCUCAUGGCUUGUAAUGAUCGUCAUACAAAAGAACAAAAAAAUCCACUGACAGAAAAUGUGGCAAAUUGAUCAUAUGGGAAAUUCCGUAAGAUAGAAUGAAUUGAAGUACAUGAACAUCUGGUAAUAAUGCUGGUGCAAAGACGCCGGUUGGAGGAUGACUCGGCUUGAUAAGUGAU
Molecule: small RNA, 869 nt
Filed under: uncultured crenarchaeote
Lineage: Archaea; Thermoproteati; Thermoproteota
Description: bacterial SSU rRNA
Rfam family: Archaeal small subunit ribosomal RNA (bases 1-599)
Source: RNAcentral